RNAcentral lists this non-coding RNA (30 nucleotides) under Rattus norvegicus (Norway rat). The record is from RNAcentral. Lineage: Eukaryota; Metazoa; Chordata; Mammalia; Rodentia; Muridae.
UUCUUUAUAAAGACACGUCUAUCUAGCCCU